Coffea arabica (coffee) is the source of this 1118-nucleotide long non-coding RNA. RefSeq lists it as uncharacterized. NCBI's taxonomy places the organism in Eukaryota, Viridiplantae, Streptophyta, Magnoliopsida, Gentianales, Rubiaceae. The record is from RefSeq and is a predicted model, not a curated record.
CCUACUCAGAGGUGGAUAGAUUAGGUGAUUACAGGGGAAAGAGUAUAAGCGAGAGCUCGCGAAUCUGAACCCUCACGCUUAAGAAAAAUAAAUCGUAUUUCGUGCUAGAUAUCUUUCUUUAUUCAUAGUGGUAUGGCAUUCUACAUUUCUACUUCUUGUUCGACUUCAAUUAUUUAUUCUUUAAUUUGUGAACUACAACGUGCAAAUAAUUUAAGUUACAAUUAGAUGGUCCAUCCAAUGAAUCAACCGAUUCAUAGGGGUUGAAACCGCCACUACCCUCCUCAAUCCGGCAAUCACAAUCUUUUUAGGCAAUUUCCAUUGGAUCCAUUGACUGACCUGUGAAUGAGAGAAAUCUGGACGAGGAGGCCUAACUCCACGUGCAUUCAAGAACGAGCUAAACUUGGAGUUUGGAUGAAGGUUUUUCCGCCAAGUGUAAGCCAUGCAUCGUCCUUCUCACCCUAACAAGACAACAACCGCCCCACCUGGCUUCUCCCCAAUCCAUCUGAAUCCUCUAUAUAUUUUGUUUCACCAAAAUCAUCCCAACCCCAUUUGGUCAUUCAACCGGAAGGAAGAAACACCGAAAGGGUUCUCAUUAAAGGCUGAGAAAUCAUGAGCAGCGGUUCAUGCAACACGGGCUGUGGCUGCCCCGUUCCAUGCCCUGGUGGGGUUUCCUGCAGGUGUGCAACGGGACGCAGGGAGGAUGAUCCCAGCGUAGAACACAAGCGGUGCUCGUGCGGGGAGCACUGUGGCUGCAACCCUUGUGCCUGUCCAAAAGGUACCAAUAUCACUGGCACUGGAAGAGGCGCUUGCCAAUGUGGCGUUGGUUGCAACUGUGUGACUUGUGCAGCCUAGGGGGAGGGUUCCUACUUGCUCGUAUGCAUGUUGAUGGAAGGUCGUAAUCUAGUGAUGUAAUGUAAUAAUAGACUAGUAGUUCCCACGUAGUUUGUUUCAAGCCUAGACAGUGAACUACGGGCACCCUUUGCUCUGAUGUAUUCUCCUAUUCUGCAUGCUAUGAAAUCCUUGUCACUACGUGAAGGAUGUUACUAAUAAGCAAUUUCAAGUAUUUAUUACUACUAUCUUUUGCAUACUACAAAUACAUCAAGAACCAUCUUUUCUUC